This is a long non-coding RNA of Vidua chalybeata, 929 nucleotides long. RefSeq lists it as uncharacterized. The transcript has 3 exons. The record is from RefSeq and is a predicted model, not a curated record. Lineage: Eukaryota; Metazoa; Chordata; Aves; Passeriformes; Viduidae.
CCAUCCUCUCCCUUGUGAUUUGUGCCUCUGGGAAGGCUUGAAGAUCAUCUGAGCCUGACUAAAGCUACACUUCAGUGCUACCACUCAGAAAAGACGAUUCUCAGGACCAGAAGAGCUGAAAUUCCUUCUCUGGGCAACCCUGGAAGAAUGAGAUAGAAGCUUCAUUUUAUAGGUCCAGGAAGUUGUUUUCUCUGCUGAAUAGGAAAAGAAGAUUUUAGAUGAGAAGACACUGCUGGAUCCAGUUGCACCAGUGGCCAGCCAAAUCCUGUGUCUUUUCCUGAGUAUGAUGGGAGCACCGUGCUGAACCAGGAACACCCAAAGGUGGAGGCUGGUGGAACCCUGGAGGCUUUUUGUCCCAGGCAAAGGUGUUUUUUCAGCACAAAGGCUGACACCAGACUGCUAUUUUGAAAGUGUUGUGGUGUGGCUGCCUUGGCUGCUUGAGGCAAGGCCUGGGAAUUAGGCAUAGCACAGCCCAGCUUUCUUUUAGGCAUCUGUAGACAACAUGUGUUGAGAGCGGGGGCAGCGCAGCAGCUGGGCCACCUGACUCGGCUCACGGGGAAGGGCAGCCGAGGGACAGCUCUGCCCUCUCUGGACCAGCGCCACCCCAAUGAGGGAUCCCAGAGUCAACUCCAGGAGCUUGCUGCGGGGAGUUUCUGCCUCACAGACCAGUCCUGAGGAGGCAGACCCAUUGCUUCUGGGGGAGUUGCUUUCCUUUUAGCACUCCCCAGAGCUAUGGGGUGAGGUGUUUUUCAUGCUGGAGUCUGACUGCACUGUGGAGAGACAACACGGUAUAUGAGGAAGAUGCUGUAGUUCCAUGGGCAUGGCAUGACCUGGGAACGAAGACGAAUCCUCUUCAGGAAAAACUCACCAUUAGAGUGGUUUCAAAUGGACUGUUUUUUAAUAAAUGCCUUUUUUUGAUACGUUCAUGA